GAUAAACGCUAGCGGCAGGCUUAACACAUGCAAGUCGAGGGGCAGCAUAGAUUGUAGCAAUACAAUUGGUGGCGACCGGCGCACGGGUGCGUAACGCGUAUGCAACCUACCCGUCACAGGGGGAUAAUCCGGAGAAAUCUGGUCUAAUACCCCAUAACAUAUGGAUCGGCAUCGGUUCAUGUUGAAGUUUUUGGAGGUGACGGAUGGGCAUGCGUAGCAUUAGCUUGUUGGUGAGGUAACGGCUCACCAAGGCGACGAUGCUUAGGGGGACUGAGAGGUUUUCCCCCCAGACUGGUACUGAUACACGGACCAGACUCCUACGGGAGGCAGCGGUGAGGAAUAUUGGUCAAUGGGCGCAAGCCCGAACCAGCCAUGCCGCGUGCGGGAAGACGGCUCUAUGAGUUGUAAACUGCUUUUAAACAGGGAUAAAGCACAGUAUGUAUACUGUGUUGAAGGUACUGUAAGAAUAAGGAUCGGCUAACUCCGUGCCAGCAGCCGCCGCAG
RNAcentral lists this ribosomal RNA (504 nucleotides) under uncultured bacterium. RNAcentral's name for it is "partial 16S ribosomal RNA". It matches the Rfam family "Bacterial small subunit ribosomal RNA", at positions 28 to 523 of the family's 1533-position model. The record is from RNAcentral.